This 467-nucleotide ribosomal RNA is filed under the name uncultured bacterium. RNAcentral's name for it is "partial 16S ribosomal RNA". It matches the Rfam family "Bacterial small subunit ribosomal RNA", at positions 28 to 507 of the family's 1533-position model. The record is from RNAcentral.
GACGAACGCUGGCGGCGUGCUUAACACAUGCAAGUCGAACGGAAAGGCCUCUUUCGGGGGGUACUCGAGUGGCGAACGGGUGAGUAACACGUGAGUAACCUGCCCUUGACUUUGGGAUAACUUCAGGAAACUGGGGCUAAUACCGGAUAGGAGCUCCUGCUGCAUGGUGGGGGUUGGAAAGUUUCGGCGGUUGGGGAUGGACUCGCGGCUUAUCAGCUUGUUGGUGGGGUAGUGGCUUACCAAGGCUUUGACGGGUAGCCGGCCUGAGAGGGUGACCGGCCACAUUGGGACUGAGAUACGGCCCAGACUCCUACGGGAGGCAGCGGUGGGGAAUAUUGCACAAUGGGUGGAAGCCUGAUGUAGCAACGCCGUGUGCGGGAUGACGGCCUUCGGGUUGUAAACCGCUUUCGCUCAUGACGAAGCUUUGUGUGACGGUAGUGGGUAAAGAAGCACCGGCUAACUACGUG